UACGUAGGGUGCGCGCGUUAAUCGGAAUUACUGGGCGUAAAGCGUGCGCAGGCGGUUUGUUAAGUCUGAUGUGAAAGCCCCGGGCUCAACCUGGGAACUGCAUUGGAAACUGGCAAGCUCGAGUAUGGCAGAGGGGGGUGGAAUUCCGCGUGUAGCAGUGAAAUGCGUAGAGAUGCGGAGGAACACCGAUGGCGAAGGCAGCCCCCUGGGCCAAUACUGACGCUCAGGCACGAAAGCGUGGGGAGCAAACAGG
RNAcentral lists this ribosomal RNA (253 nucleotides) under uncultured bacterium. RNAcentral describes it as "partial 16S ribosomal RNA". It matches the Rfam family "Bacterial small subunit ribosomal RNA", at positions 524 to 776 of the family's 1533-position model. The record is from RNAcentral.